GACGAACGCUGGCGGCGUGCUUAAUACAUGCAAGUCAACUGAACUUAAGGUAGUAAUAUCUUAAGAGAGGUGGCGCACGGGUGAGUAACACGUAGGUAAUCUGCCUUUAGGUCUGACACAACCUAUCGAAAGGUAGGCUAAUAUCAGAUGAUGCAGCGGCUCGACAUCGAGACAGUUGUUAAACCUUCGGGGCCUGAAGAUGAGCCUGCGUCUGAUAGGUAGUUGGCGGAGUAAAAGCCCACCAAGCCUGCGAUCAGUAGCUGGUCUGAGAGGAUGAUCAGCCACACUGGAACUGAGACACGGUCCAGACUCCUACGGGAGGCAGCAGUAAGGAAUAUUGCUCAAUGGCCGAAAGGCUGAAGCAGCAACGCCGCGUGGAGGAUGAAAUUACUUUUGU
RNAcentral lists this ribosomal RNA (397 nucleotides) under uncultured bacterium. Its description in RNAcentral is "bacterial SSU rRNA". It matches the Rfam family "Bacterial small subunit ribosomal RNA", at positions 28 to 423 of the family's 1533-position model. The record is from RNAcentral.